CCUACGGGAGGCAGCAGUGGGGAAUAUUGCACAAUGGGCGAAAGCCUGAUGCAGCGACGCCGCGUGAGGGAUGGAGGCCUUCGGGUUGUAAACCUCUUUCGCCCAUGGUCAAGCCGCAGCUUUGGGUUGUGGUGAGGGUAGUGGGUAAAGAAGCGCCGGCUAACUACGUGCCAGCAGCCGCGGUAAUACGUAGGGCGCGAGCGUUGUCCGGAAUUAUUGGGCGUAAAGGGCUUGUAGGCGGUUGGUCGCGUCUGCCGUGAAAUCCUCUGGCUUAACUGGGGGCGUGCGGUGGGUACGGGUCGGCUGGAGUGCGGCAGGGGAGGCUGGAACUCCUGGUGUAGCGGUGGAAUGCGCAGAUAUCAGGAGGAACACCGGUGGCGAAGGCGGGUCUCUGGGCCGUUACUGACGCUGAGGAGCGAAAGCGUGGGGAGCGAACAGGAUUAGAUACCCCGGUAGUC
Molecule: ribosomal RNA, 458 nt
Filed under: uncultured Actinomyces sp.
Lineage: Bacteria; Bacillati; Actinomycetota; Actinomycetes; Actinomycetales; Actinomycetaceae
Description: bacterial SSU rRNA
Rfam family: Bacterial small subunit ribosomal RNA
Source: RNAcentral